RNAcentral lists this ribosomal RNA (253 nucleotides) under uncultured bacterium. RNAcentral's name for it is "partial 16S ribosomal RNA". It matches the Rfam family "Bacterial small subunit ribosomal RNA", at positions 524 to 776 of the family's 1533-position model. The record is from RNAcentral.
UACGGGGGGGGCAAGCGUUGUUCGGCAUUACUUUUCUUAAAUUUCUCUUAUUUUUCCAACUAAUUCAUACUUUAAAUCCCUCGGCUUAACCGGGGAACUGCAUCUGAUACUGGAUGGCUUGAGUUUGGGAGAGGGACGCGGAAUUCCAGGUGUAGCGGUGAAAUGCGUAGAUAUUGGGAAGAACACCAGUGGCGAAGGCGGUUCUCUGGGACGGUACUGACGCUGAGACGCGAAAGCGUGGGGAGCGAACAGG